UAUGUGUAAUUAUUUAAGGUGAACACACUAUGUCGUGUAGAACCAUUUUGAAAUACAUGCUCAAUGUGUAGUUUGAAAAAGUUAUGUCAGAUUUCGUGCUUGAAUCCGGUUGUUUUUCUUUCAUCAAUAUGGAAUUCAAAACAGUGUGUAAACCUUGCUGGACUGCAUUACGAUUUCUGACUAUGUAAUUAAGCAAGAUGGGUUCAAUCAACCGAGACCUGAUUACUGAAAACGCUAGACUGAAAGACUGUGUAUGCUGUUCGAGAUGCCGGGUUAGCUAUAAAAAUGUCUUGUUUGUGCCGUGCUGCCAUCUUUUGAUGUGCAUGCGAUGCUCUGCUCGCUUUAGGGUUUGUCCGGAAUGCAACACCAAUAUCGAAGACCGAAUCAUAGCAAUACUGACACCAUUGAUCGAGACAAUUUACAGUGAAAACGCACGAUUGAAGUCUGAGCUAUACUGCAAUCAAUGCAAAGUUCAAAAGACUGACGCCCUCUUCUUCCCAUGCCAUCAUCAUUUGUUGUGCAUGAGCUGUGCAAAGAAUUUGAACAUUUGCAUCGCUUGCAAAACGAAAAUCGACAGUGUGAAGCAGACAAUAAUGCCUUAAGGAGCACACGGUGUAUGAAUGAAAAAGAGUUGCAGAAAUUUGCAUUUGUUUCUAACGUACUAACAUACAUAUGCAUUGAAUUGGACUACAUUUAAAGCGCUCUUUAUUUUUUUCCAUAAAUAAUAAUAUUAUACUCAGUACAAAUAGGAAAGUAAAUUUUUGCAAUAGUUUUUUUGCUUUUGUUCGAAAAGAAGCAUUUCUACAUGUUUGGAGCUUGUUUAUGUGUAUUUUGGUGUCUUAUUCAUUACAUCCUUGUAAUGUGCAUAACUGAUAUGUUUUGAUGAAUCUUAUGACGCGUUAACACGGUCUCGACUCCGGGUCUUCAAUGGCUAUUUGUUUUGACCAAAUAGAAGACGUUGUCUUCCUUGCUGACAGACAGUCUGUAACGCUGAAAUGAUUCCGAAACUUAGCCCUUAAGGGAUAACAUGUCUAUCUUGUUUUAUAUUGUUAUUUAAAAUGUUAAAUGUUUGUACACUUUGCAUGCUUUAAAAAGCAAUGCGUGGUGGAAUCUAGUGAAGCGAUUAUGUAUGCGCGGAAUGGUUCUACCAUCUUGCUUUUUGUUAAUUAUUCAGGCAUUUGUUGCGCAAAUACUGCUUAUUAAUACGGUUAAUACGGUUUGCAGACAUAUGUUUGAAGCUUGUUAAUGUCUAUUUUGGUUUCUUAUUAAUUACGUCCUUGUAAUUUGCAUAAAUGAUAUGUUUUGUAGAAUCUUAUGACGGGAUAAUACGGUCUCCAAUGCAGGUCUUCAAACCAUUGCUAUGUUUUGUUUUACAUAUAGCUGUGAUACGGCUAUUUGUUUCGACCAAAUAGAUCACGCGUGUCUUCCUUGCUGAAAUGAAUACUACAUCUAUAAAUUAAUUAAAUAAUUGAGGACAAACUGAUUACGCACACAGACCGUCUUUAACGCUGAAAUGAUACUAAAGUGUAAGCGCUUAAGGGAUACCAUGACCAUCUUGUUUUAUAUUGUUAUUUAAAUGUCACAUGUUUGUACACUUUGCAUGUUGUAAAAGCAAUUUAUAGUGGAGUCUUGUGAAGCGAUUAUAUAAUUGCGGAUUGAUUCCACAAUGUUGCUUUUGUUAACAAUUCAGCCAUUGGUUUUGGAAAAUAUUUUUUAUUGAUAUAUAUAAAAUAUAAUUCUUACUAUAUUUGCAAGGUUAUUUAUAAAGUUAAGACGCCCUGGUAAAACAUGACUGUAUGCAUGUGCGUACUUUCCGCUUGUAUGGUAUCUUUUAAAUGUAGUAUCUUCUUAAAGAACUUCCAUUAUAGGCGAAAAGCGUCGCACUUGAUUAGCAUGUGGGUACUGCAGAGUCUAAUCUCGGACAAUACUUUCCGCACAUGCAUUAAACCCCGUUUUCAGGAAGGGAGGCUUAAUCCUUUUUUAUUUGAUUCGAUGUUUUGAAACGUGACAAUGUCAACUCAGAUGCACACCUUUAUGGUUUGAUUCCUACACAUCCGUACGCCAAAAUGUACACAUUUUAUUGAUACGGUUUGCAGACGCAUGUUUGGAGCUUGUUUAUGUGUAUUUUGGUGUCUUAUUCAUUACAUCCUUGUAAUGUGCAUAACUGAUAUGUUUUGAUGAAUCUUAUGACGCGUUAUUACGGUCUCGACUGCGGGUCUUCAAUGGCUAUUUGUUUUGACCAAAUAGAAGACGCUUGUCUUCCUUGCUGACAGACAGUCUUUAACGCUGAAAUGUUUCCGAAACUUUGCUCUUCGCUCAUAACAUGGCUAUCUUGUUUUAUAUUGUUAUUUAAAAUGUAACAUGUUUGUACACUUCGCAUGUUUUAAAAAGCAAUGCGUGGUAGAAUCUUGUGAAGGGAUGAUAUAUGAGCGGAAUGGUUCCACAAUCUUGCUUUUGUAAAUAAUUCAGGCAUUUGUUGCGCAAAUAUUGUUUAUUGAUACGGUUUGCAGACGUAUGUGUGAAGUUUUGUUAGGUCUAUUUUGGUUUCUUAUUUAUUACAUCCUUGUAGUUUGCAUUAAUGAUAUGUUUUGUUGAAUCUUAUGACGCGGUUACACGGUCUCGAGUGCGGGUCUUCAAAUCAGCGCUAUUUUUGUUAUAAAUAUAGCUAUGAUACGGCUUUUUGUUUUGACCAUAUGAAUAACACGUGUCUUUCUUGAUGAAAUAAAUACCACAUCUAUAAAUAAAUUGCAUAAUUGAGGGACAACUUAGUACGCAAUAAGACAGUCUUUAACGCUGACAUGAUUCAAAAACUAAGGUGUAAACAAUUGAGAAAUAAAAGACUUUAUUUGGAUACGGUAUCAUGCAUUUGUAUUUAUCUCAUUUAAUGUGCAUAUACAUUUUAAAGGCUUAAUUAAAACGAUUUGUUGUUAAAACACUUCAAUUACAACAAAACGUUAAGACUUUUCCAGUAUCUUUGUUAUAUAUCAACAGAAUUAAUGCUUUAACGCUAAUCAGUUUUAUUGCGUUGUGUAUUUCUUUCUAACUUGCUUUCAACUUUGUAAUAGGGAAAUAAAAAUGCUAUUUUUACCAAUUUAUAUUGUUAUAUCGCAUAUUGAUGUUUCUGAUCAAAACAAAUAUUUAAGUAUAUUUCAUUACAGAUCUCAAUGCAACAUAUGCUCGUUGCGCAAAUGUUUAUAUAUCGCGAGUAUAGACAAUGAGUUAGAUUGCCGCACAUGCAGUUAUAACUAUGUAAUUCUGACCGAAUGAAGUUUGUGUUGUAAGAAUUUUCGAAAAAAUAAAAAAAUAAUGUGUAAAUAUGUA
Dreissena polymorpha is the source of this 3321-nucleotide long non-coding RNA. RefSeq lists it as uncharacterized. NCBI's taxonomy places the organism in Eukaryota, Metazoa, Mollusca, Bivalvia, Myida, Dreissenidae. The transcript is spliced from 4 exons. The record is from RefSeq and is a predicted model, not a curated record.